Non-coding RNA from Monodelphis domestica (gray short-tailed opossum), 501 nucleotides. NCBI's taxonomy places the organism in Eukaryota, Metazoa, Chordata, Mammalia, Didelphimorphia, Didelphidae. The record is from the annotation of a RefSeq genome assembly.
AUGGCAUCCCUCACUCAGGUCCUCUGCCUCCUGCUUUUCUGGCUAGCAGGUUCCCAAGGGGAAGUUGUUCUGACUCAGUCUCCAGCCUCUGUGUCUGUGUCUCUGGGAGAGAGAGUCACCAUCAAGUGCAAGGCCAGUCAGAGCCUCUUACACAGUGAUGGGAACACUUAUCUCUACUGGUUCCAACAGAAACAAGGAAAAUUUAUUAAAGCACUGAUCUACAAAGUUUCCAAUCUACACUCUGGGGUUCCCCCUCGGUUCAUUGGCAGUGGGUCUGGGACAGAUUUCACCCUCACAAUCAGCAGUCUGGAGGCUGAGGAUGCUGCCAUGUAUUACUGUUAUCAAGGCACUCACUGGCCUCCGACACAGUGCUUCAGCCCUGAACAAAAACCUCCCCAUAUCAUUCAGUCCUGACUCAGAGGAAGAGCUGCUUUCCCCUGAGGCCUAGACUCACAGCAGCUGCUAUCUAGCAUCAAAAUAAGGUCUAGUUUAGCCUUUCCU